RNAcentral lists this microRNA precursor (94 nucleotides) under Tupaia belangeri (northern tree shrew). RNAcentral describes it as "miRNA (ENSTBEG00000019863.1)". Lineage: Eukaryota; Metazoa; Chordata; Mammalia; Scandentia; Tupaiidae. The record is from RNAcentral.
AUAUAUAUAUAUAUAUAUGUGCAUGUGUAUUUAUGUGUGUGUAUAUAUAUGUGUGCAAACACACACACACACACACACACACACACACACACAC